GGGGGGAGGGGGCCAGGCAGCCGUUAGACAGCACAACCGAACCCAACACCGGGGCCCAACGGCAGGGGCUUGGGCAGGAGCAAGGUCCGAGGGCUGCCAGGUCCACGCUGCUUUUAUGAGCUGUAACACUCACCGCGAAGAUCUGCAGCUUCACUCCUGAGCCCAGCGAGACCACGAGCCCACCGGGAGGAACAAACAACUCCAGACGCGCUGCCUUAAGAGCUGUAACACUUGCCGUGAAGGUCUGCAGCUUCACUCCUGAGCCAGCGAGACCACGAACCCACCAGAAGGAAGAAACUCCGAACACAUCUCAACAUCAGAACGGACAGACUCCAGACGCACCACCUUAAGAGCUGUAACACUCACCGCGAGGUUCCGCGGCUUCAUUCUUGAAGUUCGUGAGCCACACAUCUCCCCACACCAAGCUCCUCCAUACAAGACCUCGGACUGCAUCACGUAAAUGCUUUUUCAGGGGCAAAAUCUAGAGAAUCUGAAACGAGCUAUCAGCUUCCCAGUUUGCACAAUUCAUCAAGAAAUUAUGCGGGGUCACUGGCACAAAUGAUGAGGCAUCUCCUGGAAGCUUAACUUCUUAUCCAUCCCAUCUCUUGGACAGAUGAUGCCAGUUAAUUACUUUGAAUGGGUCUGUCACACGCAGCCCAACUCAACUGGAGUCCUGAGAAGGUGAACAGACCAGGAUGGAUGGCCAGGGAACUCACCAGAAGUCCCCAGGCAUCAGAACAAGGUCGAAGCAUCCUGAAGCCGACAGCUCUGGGCUUGUGCCCAUCAAGCACUCUUCUGCCCAUUUUAUACUCUUGUGGACGCAUGGUGGUGUUGAUACAGGCCCCGAGUUAAAGGAUCCAUGGCUGCACGUGACAAGACAAAGCAAAAGCAGGCCAGAGUUAAACACGCCCCUUGGGUCCCCUCCUUCACUUCAUAAAUGGGAAAACCAAGGUCUAGGCAGGGAAAGGGGCUCAGCCAAGGCUACAUACACAGCACACUCACGGCCGAGCCGGGAUUAGGACUCCCAGCAUACCCCGUAGCCUUCUCUAAUAAGAGAUAGGCUGCUGGGUUCUUCUUUAUCAAGUGUUGGUCACUCAUUAUUUCUCUCUGUGUUUCUUAAAACAAUUAUUCUUUAAUAUCGUUAUAUAUUCAGUAAGUGUUCAAAUUUCCAACUGUUUUAUGUCAGAAAGCAUUUUCUAACAUUUUGAUUAAAUCAAGAUCCAAAUAAGAUGCACACAA
Long non-coding RNA from Homo sapiens (human), 1239 nucleotides. The record is from Ensembl. Lineage: Eukaryota; Metazoa; Chordata; Mammalia; Primates; Hominidae.